GUUUUCAUGUAAACACACACACACACACACACACUCCUCCCUUUGCAUUCAGGCUGUUGGAAUGUCCCACACGUGGUAGUCCAAACUGCUGCACCGCCUCAAUGCAGAUGAAGUAAAAGGAAGGGGGAGUGAACGGUCCUUAUUUUUGGAUGUCUCUCUGACUGCUCCACUCCUCCAUGCUGUGCUGUUGGAUGUUCUUGGUUUAUGGUCAUUUAACGGAUUAGCGCUUCUCUGUUUGUUUUGCUGACCAGUGUUGUGCUAUGUUCAGGGAGGUGAGGCUUGGCCGGACUGGAGUGGAUGAAAUAAAAUGUCACCCCUUCUUCAAGAACGAUCAGUGGACCUUCGACACCAUAUGAGACAAUAUGGCAGACACGGCCAAACAUCGAAACUUUGGAGGACGUCUAGGAAAAAAAGCACCAUAUCAUCAAGGGGAAUAAAAGCAAAAAAAUGCCAAAAACAGACACCCAAAACCCUACGCAUGCUGCGCGACACAGGGGCGUGAACCUGCAGGACCCAGACGCACAGUCCACUCGAAGCUGCUGUGGGAACUAAAGGCCUGUCAACACUCCAUCAUGGGAGACCACGACACCUUCUCCUCCCUAAAAUCCCACCCUUCACCCUUUCACCUCCCAAGACGGAUAAGGAAAGAGAAAGAAAGAGAAAGGAAUACCAGGAAGAGCUCGAGGAAAACGCCUCACUCAUGCCACAAAGAGAUUUUUCAAGGAAGACUUCUGGUGGACGGGGCUGAAAGCGAACGGACGAUGGAUUCUGUCAUGUCUGGCAGUAAAUAUGGAUUCUGUAUUACUUUCAAGUCAACAAGAAUUUCCACCUCAGUUCAUCCUCAUUAUGCAAGCACCAUGUAGAGAUAAAGGAUUGGAAAAGAGAUAAAGGAACACAGAAUGGACUGAAGAGUUAUUAUUAACCAACAAACCUUCCCAUUCUCAGCCCCUGGAAGGGUCCGUAAUGCCCCUUUUAACAUUCAGAAGUCUUCAAGCGAAAUCUACACUGAGUAUCCAUAUGGUCUGGGCUCUCCCAUUUAAUCUCAACUCUAACACUGGAAGAAAGUCAGCACCUUAAACUUAAACUAACCCUUCAGUUAUUCAUCUAUGAGCCACAUCUACUAAAUUUCUAACACAAAGGAACACCGAAGCAGAACUUCAUAUGUUUUAUUUCAGCUUUAUUUAUUACCUUUGUUUGAACUGGUCUCCCUUUGCGCAGCUCGUCAUUCAUCUAUGACCCAAAAAGUAUUGAAGAAAGUCAAUGUUGUCUUCCCUAUCCCAUUUACUUCUCCCCACAGCAUUGACCUCAAAGUUCAGUGUUGAUGUUCACAAAACAACAGCGAGCUCUACGAUGCCUUCUUAAUCUUCUUUUAGCUUUGUGUAAACUACUGUUUGAGAGUCAACAAAUUAUUACAUAUAUUUGCACCAAUCAGACUGAUCCAAAAUCAUUUUGCUUCACGAUUAAUUGCAAAAUAUCAUUACACAUUUAGUUGUCUGGAUGCGGAAGUCACACAACACCAGUCUCAAUAUGUGUUAUUAAAAAGCAACAAAAAAUAUUCAAGCACCCACUAAUCAACAAAGUGAAUGAUUGAGCACUGGGAUGGCAAAUAUUGUGGGAAUGCAGAUUUUUGCCCACAAAGCCCCUGAAAAAGUGGAAAAAAACAGAAGUGCCUACUCCGUUUUUUCCGUGUUCUUUGUUUUGGGCUUGAUUGAGGUCGGCUGACCAUCUUAAAAGUAGCGGUUUUGAGACGAUCCCGAGGUAUACGGGCAAUAAGCUGUGAGAAUAACUUGCGGAGCGUGCUAGUAAACAGAGGAGUCGUUUCAGUUUUGUUUUAUGAAUGCUGUUUGUUGAUGUGUAUUAAAAAGAAUUUUAUUUCAGAUUGAUUUUAGUCAGUAAUUUAAUGGGUUACCAAUACAUUUAUAUGGUCAUUUAGGGAAUGAAUUAGGUAUCAUGAUAAGGUGUCACACAGCUAGAAGUCAUUUGUCAUGUGUCUUCAGGUCCACCUUUUUUGUGGAAUAAGAUCUGAUCUCGUUAACACCUCUGUCAAUUUUAAAUAAAGCUGUGCUGUUCUGCUAUGAAUGAAACGUG
This is a non-coding RNA of Danio rerio (zebrafish), 2088 nucleotides long. The record is from RefSeq and is a predicted model, not a curated record. Lineage: Eukaryota; Metazoa; Chordata; Actinopteri; Cypriniformes; Danionidae.